CUUCCAAUCUACAAGAGGAUGUCGUCUGGCUGUAAAUGUGGCUCCAGCUGUAACUGUGGCAGCGGCUGCAGCUGUGAGAUGUAUGUUGAGAAGAGCACAAGCAUUGCCACGGUUGAAGGUGUCGCGCCACUCAUCAUG
This is a long non-coding RNA of Salvia hispanica, 138 nucleotides long. RefSeq lists it as uncharacterized. Lineage: Eukaryota; Viridiplantae; Streptophyta; Magnoliopsida; Lamiales; Lamiaceae. The record is from RefSeq and is a predicted model, not a curated record.